AACCUGGCGCUGGAUCACCUCCUUAU
This 26-nucleotide ribosomal RNA is filed under the name Vibrio anguillarum. RNAcentral describes it as "partial 16S ribosomal RNA". Lineage: Bacteria; Pseudomonadati; Pseudomonadota; Gammaproteobacteria; Vibrionales; Vibrionaceae. The record is from RNAcentral.